UACCGAAGCGAUUAGGUCGCUUCCAUGCUAAGGGGGCAUUUGGAUUGACGUAUUUGUAGAUUCGACAUAAGUCAAGUGUAGUGGUGUUUGAGUUUUCCUGAAGUGUGAUUAUUUUUUUGUUGUUUGUUUUGACGUAACUUGUACCGCCUGAAUGUUAAAUUCAAUCACUUUUGUUGUUUGUUUUGAUGUAACUUGGUGCUGGUAAAAUUAGUUUUUUGAGUUCCGUUGUUUGUUUUGAUAUAAGUAAGUGGAUCUUAUUAUCUCCUAAAUAUAGUAGUAAAUUUACCACUAUAAAAUUUAAUCUAUUAUAUAAUUAAUUUUUUUAUUAUUAUUUAAAGAUAAUCCUAAUUUAUUAUAAAUAAGGUAAUUCUAACCCAUUAUAAAGGAAGUAGAGUUUAGGUUUUACUGUUUAAUAAAUUUUUUAGAGGAGGUUGAGUGUAGUGAAAGUCGAGUUCGGCACUUUAGAGGAGGAAGUCGAGAGUAGGUGAAGUGGAGCUCUAACGUAACUUGAGUUACAUUAUAUUUUUCACUUACAUCAAAACAAAUAACGGAAGUGAUGGAACUUGAGUUCCAUCACUCCACUUACACCAAAACAAACGGGUCCUAAAGUGAAGUGUGUUUCAUUAUUAAUGCAUGAAGUGAUAGUUAAAUGCUAAAGUGAAUGAAUGAGUUAGAUUCUAAUUAUAAAUGCAUAAGAUGUAUGCUAAAUGAAUGUGUAAGAUAUAUGCUAAAUAAAUGCAUGAGACAUAUGCUAAAUAACAUGAAUUAGAUGCAUGAGCUAGACGUUAUAU
This 791-nucleotide long non-coding RNA is filed under the name Ananas comosus (pineapple). Its description in RNAcentral is "long non-coding RNA (ACOM_LNC015161)". The record is from RNAcentral. Lineage: Eukaryota; Viridiplantae; Streptophyta; Magnoliopsida; Poales; Bromeliaceae.